ACGUAGGGCGCAAGCGUUGUCCGGAAUUAUUGGGCGUAAAGAGCUCGUAGGCGGUUUGUCGCGUCUGUCGUGAAAGCCCACAGCUUAACUGUGGGUCUGCGGUGGAUACGGGCAGACUAGAGGCAGGUAGGGGAGAACGGAAUUCCCGGUGUAGCGGUGAAAUGCGCAGAUAUCGGGAGGAACACCAGUGGCGAAAGCGGCUCUCUGGUCCAAA
This 214-nucleotide ribosomal RNA is filed under the name uncultured prokaryote. RNAcentral's name for it is "partial 16S ribosomal RNA". It matches the Rfam family "Bacterial small subunit ribosomal RNA", at positions 525 to 738 of the family's 1533-position model. The record is from RNAcentral.